AGCAGCCGCGGUAAUUCCAGCUCCAAUAGCGUAUAUUAAAGUUGUUGCAGUUAAAAAGCUCGUAGUUGAAUUUCGGGGUCGGUAGGUUGGUCAUGCCUCAGGUAUGCACUGGUCUCACUGAUUCCUCCUUCCUGAUGAGCCGUAAUGCCAUUAAUUUGGUGUUGCGAGGAAUCUGGACUGUUACUUUGAAAAAAUUAGAGUGUUUAAAGCAAGCUAACGCUUGAAUACAUUAGCAUGGAAUAAUGGAAUAGGACGUUCGAUCCUAUUUUGUUGGUUUCUAGGAUUGACGUAAUGAUUAAUAGGGAUAGUUGGGGGCAUUAGUAUUCAAUUGUCAGAGGUGAAAUUCUUGGAUUUAUUGAAGACUAACUACUGCGAAAGCAUUUGCCAAGGAUGUUUUCAUUAAUCAAGAACGAAAGUUAGGGGAUCGAAGACGAUCAGAUACCGUCGUAGUCUUAACCAUAAACUAUGCCGACUAGGGAUCGGAUGAUGUUAAUUUUUAAUGACUCAUUC
This 510-nucleotide ribosomal RNA is filed under the name uncultured Glomus. Its description in RNAcentral is "SSU rRNA". It matches the Rfam family "Eukaryotic small subunit ribosomal RNA", at positions 569 to 1081 of the family's 1831-position model. Lineage: Eukaryota; Fungi; Glomeromycota; Glomeromycetes; Glomerales; Glomeraceae. The record is from RNAcentral.